UAGGGAAUCUUCCACAAUGGACGCAAGUCUGAUGGAGCAACGCCGCGUGAGUGAAGAAGGUCUUCGGAUCGUAAAGCUCUGUUGUUGGUGAAGAAGGAUAGAGGCAGUAACUGGUCUUUAUUUGACGGUAAUCAACCAGAAAGUCACGGCUAACUACGUGCCAGCAGCCGCGGUAAUACGUAGGUGGCAAGCGUUGUCCGGAUUUAUUGGGCGUAAAGCGAGCGCAGGCGGAAUGAUAAGUCUGAUGUGAAAGCCCACGGCUCAACCGUGGAACUGCAUCGGAAACUGUCAUUCUUGAGUGCAGAAGAGGAGAGUGGAACUCCAUGUGUAGCGGUGGAAUGCGUAGAUAUAUGGAAGAACACCAGUGGCGAAGGCGGCUCUCUGGUCUGCAACUGACGCUGAGGCUCGAAAAGCAUGGGUAGCGAACAGGAUUAGAUACCCUGGUAGUCCAUGCCGUAAACGAUGAGCGCUAGGUGUUGGGGACUUUCCGGUGCCUCAGUGCCGCAGCAAACGCAUUAAGCGCUCCGCCU
Molecule: ribosomal RNA, 530 nt
Filed under: uncultured bacterium
Lineage: Bacteria
Description: partial 16S ribosomal RNA
Rfam family: Bacterial small subunit ribosomal RNA
Source: RNAcentral